RNAcentral lists this signal recognition particle RNA (382 nucleotides) under Callithrix jacchus (white-tufted-ear marmoset). RNAcentral's name for it is "Metazoan signal recognition particle RNA (ENSCJAG00000079927.1)". It matches the Rfam family "Metazoan signal recognition particle RNA". From Rfam's summary of the family: The signal recognition particle (SRP) is a universally conserved ribonucleoprotein. It is involved in the co-translational targeting of proteins to membranes. The record is from Rfam by way of RNAcentral. Lineage: Eukaryota; Metazoa; Chordata; Mammalia; Primates; Cebidae.
GCUGAGUGUGGUGGUGCAUGCCUGUAGUCUCAGCUACUUGGGAAGCUAAAGCAGGAGAAUCACUUGAACCCAGAAGGCGGAGGUUGCAGUGAGCUGAGAUCUCACCAGUGCACUCCAGCCUGGUGACAGAGCAAGACUCAGUCUCAAAAAAAAAAAGAACCAGGCAGGAUGGUAGUGCGCUAUGCUGAUCGGGUGUCCGCACUAAGCUUGCCAUCAAUAUGGUGACCUCCCGGGAGUGGGGACCACCAGGCUGCCUAAAGAGGGGUGAACUGGCCCAGGUCGGAAACAGAGCAGGUCAAAACUCCCCUGCUGAUCAGUAGUGGGAUUGCGCCGCUGAAUAGCGACUGCAUUCCAGCCUGGGCAACAUGGCGAGACCCCGUCU